Molecule: ribosomal RNA, 652 nt
Filed under: uncultured bacterium
Lineage: Bacteria
Description: bacterial SSU rRNA
Rfam family: Bacterial small subunit ribosomal RNA
Source: RNAcentral
AGAGUUUGAUCCUGGCUCAGGACGAACGCUGGCGGCGGGCUUAACACAUGCAAGUCGAAGGAGAAGGAUGGUGCUUGCACCAUCCGGAGACUGGCGCACGGGUGAGUAACGCGUAGACAACCUGCCUAUAACUGGGGGAUAACAUCGGGAAACCGGUGCUAAUACCGCAUAUUGUCAUUGCCUCGCAUGAGGCGGUGAUGAAAAACUUCGGUUGGUUAUAGAUGGGUCUGCGUGCCAUUAGUUAGUUGGUGGGGUAAAAGCCUACCAAGGCGAUGAUGGCUAGGGGGUCUGAGAGGAUGAUCCCCCACACUGGAACUGAGACACGGUCCAGACUCCUACGGGAGGCAGCAGUGAGGAAUCUUGCGCAAUGGAGGAAACUCUGACGCAGCCACGCCGCGUGCCGGAAGACGGCCCUAUGGGUUGUAAACGGCUUUUGAUUGGGAAGAACUGUUCCGUUUCGACGGGACUUGACGGUACCAUUUGAAUAAGCACCGGCUAACUCCGUGCCAGCAGCCGCGGUAAUACGGAGGGUGCAAGCGUUGUCCGGAAUCAUUGGGUGUAAAGGGUGCGUAGGCUGGCAUCUAAGUCUGGGGUGAAAUCUUGCCACUUAACGGUAAAAUUGCCCUGGAUACUGGAUGUCUUGAAUCUGACA